This 521-nucleotide ribosomal RNA is filed under the name Salmonella enterica. RNAcentral's name for it is "partial 23S ribosomal RNA". It matches the Rfam family "Bacterial large subunit ribosomal RNA", at positions 2413 to 2925 of the family's 2925-position model. Lineage: Bacteria; Pseudomonadati; Pseudomonadota; Gammaproteobacteria; Enterobacterales; Enterobacteriaceae. RNAcentral also lists the same sequence under 4 other names. The record is from RNAcentral.
UAGUGAUCCGGUGGUUCUGAAUGGAAGGGCCAUCGCUCAACGGAUAAAAGGUACUCCGGGGAUAACAGGCUGAUACCGCCCAAGAGUUCAUAUCGACGGCGGUGUUUGGCACCUCGAUGUCGGCUCAUCACAUCCUGGGGCUGAAGUAGGUCCCAAGGGUAUGGCUGUUCGCCAUUUAAAGUGGUACGCGAGCUGGGUUUAGAACGUCGUGAGACAGUUCGGUCCCUAUCUGCCGUGGGCGCUGGAGAACUGAGGGGGGCUGCUCCUAGUACGAGAGGACCGGAGUGGACGCAUCACUGGUGUUCGGGUUGUCAUGCCAAUGGCACUGCCCGGUAGCUAAAUGCGGAAGAGAUAAGUGCUGAAAGCAUCUAAGCACGAAACUUGCCCCGAGAUGAGUUCUCCCUGAGACUUAGAGUCUCCUGAAGGAACGUUGAAGACGACGACGUUGAUAGGCCGGGUGUGUAAGCGCAGCGAUGCGUUGAGCUAACCGGUACUAAUGAACCGUGAGGCUUAACCUUACA